Molecule: ribosomal RNA, 280 nt
Filed under: uncultured Pseudomonadota bacterium
Lineage: Bacteria; Pseudomonadati; Pseudomonadota
Description: uncultured proteobacterium partial 16S ribosomal RNA
Rfam family: Bacterial small subunit ribosomal RNA
Source: RNAcentral
CCUACGGGAGGCAGCAGUGGGGAAUCUUGCGCAAUGGGGGAAACCCUGACGCAGCAACGCCGCGUGGGUGAUGAAGGCCUUCGGGUCGUAAAGCCCUGUCAGGUGGGAAGAAACUUGUGGAUGUUAAUACCAUCCAUGCUUGACGGUACCACCGGAGGAAGCACCGGCUAACUCCGUGCCAGCAGCCGCGGUAAUACGGAGGGUGCAAGCGUUGUUCGGAAUUAUUGGGCGUAAAGCGCGUGUAGGUGGUCGUGUAAGUCAGAUGUGAAAGUCUUCUGCU